AGUGAACGUUGGCGGCGUGGAUUAGGCAUGCAAGUCGAGCGAGAACCGUAGCAAUACGGGGACAGCGGCGAAAGGGACAGUAAUGUGUAGGUACCUACCUCCGGGUUCGGGAUAGCUGCGGGAAACUGCAGGUAAUACCGAAUAACGUCUCCGGACCAAAGGUGUGAUUCCACCUGGAGAGGGGCCUGCAUCCUAUUAGCUUGUUGGCGGGGUAACGGCCCACCAAGGCGACGAUGGGUAGCGGGGGUGUGAGCACGACCCGCGUCAUUGGGACUGAGACACUGCCCAGGCACCUACGGGUGGCUGCGGUCGUGAAUCUUCGGCGAUGGGCGCACGCCUGACCGAGCGACGCCGCGUGCGGGAUGAAGGCCUUCGGGUUGUAAACCGCUGUCGUAGAGGAGGAAAUGCAGGGGGGUUCUCCCCUCUGUUUGACCUAUUCUAGGAGGAAGUACGGGCUAAGUUCGUGCCAGCAGCCGCAGUAA
RNAcentral lists this ribosomal RNA (482 nucleotides) under uncultured bacterium. RNAcentral describes it as "partial 16S ribosomal RNA". It matches the Rfam family "Bacterial small subunit ribosomal RNA", at positions 28 to 523 of the family's 1533-position model. The record is from RNAcentral.